This 455-nucleotide long non-coding RNA is filed under the name Callithrix jacchus (white-tufted-ear marmoset). RNAcentral describes it as "lncRNA (ENSCJAG00000070251.1)". The record is from RNAcentral. Lineage: Eukaryota; Metazoa; Chordata; Mammalia; Primates; Cebidae.
UGGAUUUCAUCUCUGUUUCACUGUACCUAGAACUAUGAGCAGCUAGAGAUGAGAAUGUGACCCCAUCAAGAAGAAAUAUAGUUAUUUCUGAACUAUAUUUGCUGAUGCUGUGACCAUCCAGUUUUACUCCAUGAUGAUGGUGUCUUGGAGUAAGAGGACAAUGAAUGCUACUGCUAUAGACUGAGAGUUCCAAAUGGAAGAGAAGGAAGAGGAAAAGACUGUGGGAGAUAACGCAAGUAGUUGAUAGUGACAGCAAACACAAGAAUGUUGAAUGAUUAAAGAGUCUAAAUUUGUUACAGAAUUUACUUGACAUUUUUUGCUUCUCUAUGUUAUCAUGAAUUUAUCUACUUCCUGGACGUUCAUGGGACAUUGCCUUACUAUAGUUUGAGAUAAAAAGAAGAUAUGCUGAUUUUUGGAUUCAGUUUUUAUAGAUUUGUAACAGGAGAAUUAGAGAC